This 2269-nucleotide long non-coding RNA is filed under the name Equus caballus (horse). RNAcentral's name for it is "lncRNA (ENSECAG00000051351.1)". The record is from RNAcentral. Lineage: Eukaryota; Metazoa; Chordata; Mammalia; Perissodactyla; Equidae.
CAGAAACACCAGGAUGAGGGAUGCAAAUGAAGUCAGAGAUGCCACAGAGAGUGAUACACAUGAUGUCAGAGAUGCAAUAGAGUGUUUUACACAAGAAGUCAGACACUCCAUUUGGAGUGUUACACAUGAAGUCAGAGACUCCAUUGAAGAGUGCUAUGCACGAAGUCAAAGACAACAGGAGGAGUGUUACCCACAAAGUCAGAGAGACCAGGGGGAGUGUGAUGCAUGAAGUCAGAGACACGAUUGGGUGUUACACAUGAAGUCACAGACAACAGGGGGAGUGUGAUACACAAAGUCACAGAAGCCAGGCAGAGUGAGACACAUGAAGUCAGAGGUGCCAGAGGGAGUGUUACACACACAAAUCUGAGAUGCCAGAGGGAGUGUGACACAAAGUCAGAAAAACAAGGGGUAGUGUUACAUAGGCAGUCAGAGGCACUAGGGAGUGUGAUACACACUAAGCCAGAGAUGCCAUGGGGAGUAUGACACACGAAGUUAGAGACACCAGGACAUAUUAUGACAAGCAAAGUCAGAGACACAAUGGUGACUGUUACACUCGAAGUCAGAGAUACCUGAGGUAGUUUGACACAUGAAAUCAGAGAUAACAGGGCAGGAGUGACACAUGAAUCAAAGAUGACAACGGGAGUGUGACACACAAGUCAGAGAGGCCACAUGGAUUUUUACACAUGAAAUCGUAGAUGCCGGGGGAGUGUUAUACAUGAUGUCAGAGAGGCCACGUGGAGUGUUACAGACGAACUCAGAAAUGUCACUGGAAGCAUUACAAAGUUGGAGACUCCAGAGUGAAAGUGUCACAUGUAGUCAGAGCCAACAGGAGACUGUUAAACACUAAGCCAGAGAAGCCACAGGGGAGUGUUAUCCCCAAUGACAAAGACACCAGGAGGAGUGUUACACAGGAAGUGAGAGAUGCUACGGGGGGUGUGACACAGGAAAUCAGAGAUAAGAGGUGGAUUGUGACACAGAAUGUCAGAGAUGCUAUGGGGAAUAUUACACAUAGCUCAGAGACAAGAGAAAGUGAAACACAUUAAUCAGAGAGGCCACAGGGUGUGUUACACACUAAGUCAGAGAUGCCAGGAGUAGGGUGACUCAUGAAGUCAGAGACGAAAGGGGGAGUGUGACACACAAAUCAGUGAUGCUACGGGAAAUGUUAAAAUAGACAUCAGAGAUGCCAGGGUACUGUGAUACAUGAAGUCAGGUAUGCCUGGGUGAGUAUGACACAAGAGUCAGAGUUGCAAUGAAGAGUGUUACAGUCAAAGUCAGAGAUGCCAGGGGAAUGUGACACAUGGAGUCUGAGACUUCACGUGGAGUGUUACGUACAAAGUCAGAGACACCAGCAGGAGAGUGGCACAUGAAGUCAGAGAUGACAGGGAGAAUGUGACACAUGAAGUCACAGACGCCAAAGGGGAGUGGUAUCCACGAAUUCAAAGACAACAGGGAGAGUGUUACACAUGGUGUCAGUGAUGACAGGGGUAUUGUAUCACACAAUGACACAGACAUCAGGAGUGUGACACCCAAAAUCAGAGACAACAUUUGGGGUAUGACACACAAAGUCAGAAACACCAGUGGGAGUGUUACACAUAAUGUCAAAGACAACAUGGGGAUUGUUAUACACAAUGACAGAGAUGACAUUGGGAGUGUGACACCUGAAGUCACAGAUAUAAUGGGGAGUGAGAGGCACAAUGUCAGAGAUGACAGGUGGAGUGUUAGAGAUGAAGUCACAGACAACAAAGGGAGUGUUACACACGAAUCAGGGACACCAGGGCGAGCAUUACACAUGGAGUUAGAGAUGCUAUGGGGAUUAUUAUGCUUGAUAUCAGAGACACCGUGGGGGAGUUUUACACAUAAGGGCAGAAACGUCACAUGGUUUUUUACAGAUGAAAUCAGAAAUGCCAGGGGGAUUGUUACUCACCCAGUCAGAGAUGCCACAUGAGGUUUUACACAGGAAGUCAUAGACAAUGGGAGGGUUUUUACAAACAAAAUCAGAGGUCUUACGGUUAUUGUUACACACAUCGUCCAAGAUUCCAGGCAGUGUGGGACAGAGGAAGGAAAAAACACAGGGUGGAUUGUUACACACAAAGUCCAAGACACCAGGGAGAGUGUGAAACCUGAUGGCAGGGAUGCCAUGGGCAGUGCAACACACGAAAUCAGAGAUGACAAGUGAAGGGUUAGAGACAAAGUCAAAGACGCCAGGGGUAGAGUUAUGCACAACAACACAGAUGCCAGCAGGAGUGUUACACAUGAAAUCAGUGAUGCC